UUGAACGCUGGCGGCAUGCUUUACACAUGCAAGUCGAACGGCAGCGCGGGCUUCGGCCUGGCGGCGAGUGGCGAACGGGUGAGUAAUGCAUCGGAACGUGCCCAGUAGUGGGGGAUAGCCCAGCGAAAGCCGGAUUAAUACCGCAUACGACCUGAGGGUGAAAGCGGGGGACCGAAAGGCCUCGCGCUAUUGGAGCGGCCGAUGUCGGAUUAGCUAGUUGGUGGGGUAAAGGCUUACCAAGGCGACGAUCCGUAGCUGGUCUGAGAGGACGACCAGCCACACUGGGACUGAGACACGGCCCAGACUCCUACGGGAGGCAGCAGUGGGGAAUUUUGGACAAUGGGGGCAACCCUGAUCCAGCCAUGCCGCGUGCGGGAAGAAGGCCUUCGGGUUGUAAACCGCUUUUGUUCGGGAAGAAAUCCUCUGGGCUAAUACCCCGGGGGGAUGACGGUACCGGAAGAAUAAGCACCGGCUAACUACGUG
Molecule: ribosomal RNA, 483 nt
Filed under: uncultured bacterium
Lineage: Bacteria
Description: partial 16S ribosomal RNA
Rfam family: Bacterial small subunit ribosomal RNA
Source: RNAcentral